RNAcentral lists this ribosomal RNA (508 nucleotides) under uncultured bacterium. Its description in RNAcentral is "bacterial SSU rRNA". It matches the Rfam family "Bacterial small subunit ribosomal RNA", at positions 1001 to 1509 of the family's 1533-position model. The record is from RNAcentral.
CAGAGAUGCUUUGGUGCCUUCGGGAACUCUGAGACAGGUGCUGCAUGGCUGUCGUCAGCUCGUGUUGUGAAAUGUUGGGUUAAGUCCCGCAACGAGCGCAACCCUUAUCCUUUGUUGCCAGCGGCUCGGCCGGGAACUCAAAGGAGACUGCCGGUGAUAAACCGGAGGAAGGUGGGGAUGACGUCAAGUCAUCAUGGCCCUUACGGCCAGGGCUACACACGUGCUACAAUGGCGCAUACAAAGAGAAGCGACCUCGCGAGAGCAAGCGGACCUCAUAAAGUGCGUCGUAGUCCGGAUUGGAGUCUGCAACUCGACUCCAUGAAGUCGGAAUCGCUAGUAAUCGUAGAUCAGAAUGCUACGGUGAAUACGUUCCCGGGCCUUGUACACACCGCCCGUCACACCAUGGGAGUGGGUUGCAAAAGAAGUAGGUAGCUUAACCUUCGGGAGGGCGCUUACCACUUUGUGAUUCAUGACUGGGGUGAAGUCGUAACAAGGUAAGCGUAGCGAG